CACGUAGGGCGCAAGCGUUGUCCGGAAUUAUUGGGCGUAAAGAGCUCGUAGGCGGUUUGUCGCGUCUGCUGUGAAAUCCCGAGGCUCAACCUCGGGCCUGCAGUGGGUACGGGCAGACUGGAGUGCGGUAGGGGAGAAUGGAACUCCUGGUGUAGCGGUGAAAUGCGCAGAUAUCGGGAAGAACACCCGUGGCGAAGGCGGCUCUCUGGGACGGUACUGACGCUGAGACGCGAAAGCGUGGGGAGCGAACAGG
Molecule: ribosomal RNA, 253 nt
Filed under: uncultured bacterium
Lineage: Bacteria
Description: partial 16S ribosomal RNA
Rfam family: Bacterial small subunit ribosomal RNA
Source: RNAcentral